CUAGUGGGAUUCGUUUCCUUUGCGUCACAACGGGAACUCCAGCCCCAGAAACGUAAACAUUGUUCACUUGUUCAGCUGUGAGUACAGUCCCUUAUGCAGCUUGAACAAGCAGCGCUUUUCCUCCUGUAAUCACUGUUCCUAGUCAUGAUGUUUAAUUUUUAAUUUCUAGUAAUAUUACAGAAGGACACCGUGUCUUCACGCUCACGGUAUAGUCUGGCCACCCAAGAUGGCUCUUCUCUUGCUCUCUUUCCAUCCCCUGCUCCACCGGUGCCUGCUUCACCUAGUCUGUCGAGCAGAACAUCUCCACCUGGUAGCUUGUCAAAGGGCGGUGGGGGGCGUGCCCCUUGCUGGUUUCCCUGGUAACUGAGGAGCCCACCUGAAGCCAAUAGCGCUUUCAUUGGGCACCUCCCCCUGCCCCGGGAGCAAAGCCUGCCGCCCUCUUGCCGGCGGUCCUAACCCGGGUUCGUGUGCCCUCUGCCACCCCACACGUCGGGGCGUCGCUGCAGGACCGGGCUUCAGACGGGUAGCAUGAAUCUCAUCAGCACAGAGAGAAAGCUUCACUGAAAACUCAUUGCAGGUGUCUUGCUUUUCUGAGAAGCAGCAGCAACAGUGGUUAGAAGCCCCGACCCUGGAGCUGGACUGUCUGAGUACAAAGCCUGGUUCUACUGCUCACUUGCUGUGGGACCAGGGGCUGGCUCUCAGGUCAGUUUUCUCAUCCACGAGACAGGAAAAUAAGAGUAUCGACCUCCCCGAGUCCUUGCGAGGAUUAAAUGAGUAAAUAUACCUAAUAGGUAGGCUUAGACGAAUCCCGGCGCUUAGUAAGCGCUCUGUGUUAGUGUCGGCUCCCACUGCCGCUCCCGUUCCUAUCAUUAUGGUCCUUACCUUGCAGCUGUGAAAUGGCUGUGACAUUGUCUUUGUAAAUUGUACCUUUCUAUCUUUUAUAUCCCAAUCCCACUUGCUACUUUGGGAAAGACUGCAUUAUUUUCUUAAAGUGAGUUUAUUUUCCUGUGAACUACUUGGAAGAAAAUUGCUCGUGUAUAAUUUCCUCCUCUGGACUGGUCAAAAUUGGCCUCUUUCUCACAUCCAUGGUCUGUGCAGACAGGGCCAGUGUCAAGGGCGUGUGAGCUGCGCAGCCACACAGGGCCCUGCACUCAGAAGGACUCCAUGCCUGGUUGAAUGCUGUCACCGUCUUGAAAUCCUUAGUCUUGCCGUAAGGGGCCACGCACGUUCAUGCUGCAGUGGGCCGCACAAAUCAUGUUGGCAGUCCUGUGUGGAGAAUAAUCUAGUAACCAGAGUCUCCUUUUCAGGUUCUCCUGAGGACAGGGAAACUCUUCGAAUCCUAGACCACGGCAGCUUUGGAUUCAGUCAGCCCUCUAUCGCAGCACUUUCCAUAUAGCAGCAGUGCCUUUUUAAGUUACAUAACUUAUCCCUGGAUAUGUCUUUUGCACCUACUAGAGUAUGAACUCCUGAGGUCAGGGGCCAUCUCUGAUUGUCCUUUCCGUCUUCCAGGAGGCCUCCUCAUUGUUAAGAGAUCAACAAAUGAUUUGUGCACGUGAAUGAUACCAGCUCUGUGUGUUUUAUCAGUGAUGGGAAACCCACAUAAGGACUUGGCAUUGGCACCGCUGAGCCUUGGGUUUGAUCCCUGGCCUGGGAACUUCUGUGUGCCAUGGUCGCAGCCAAAAAAAAAAAAAAAAAAAAAAAAAAGUGUGGCGCGGCCCAUUAGCUGGGAAGGACUCUUCUGUGGAAUGGAACCCACAGAGCCACGGAGUUAACUGUGGUGACCAAAACUGAACAGUCUGGACUUGCCAUACUCAGCCAUUUCCAGGUGUCACCUUAACCGCUAGGCCAACAGGGAACUCCCAUUGUAUUUUAAAUUUGAAUUUAAUUUUUUGAAUUGAAGUAGAGUUGAUUUACAAUAUUGUGUUAGUUUCAGGUGUACAGUCCACUACUUUGAAAGUAGCUCCGGUGUGGAAGGAUUGUGUUCUUUGCUUUUACUACCUACACACAGGGACCCAGUCCCCUGCAGAUGGUCCGUCAGUGCAGAGUAUUUAAGUGUAUGAUACUCGUGUGGGCUAUGGUCUUAUUCCUGCCGUGAAUUAGUAAGAAUUAGUAACCGCCUUAGUGUUUUAGAGCAUCCACUUUCCUGGGUAUGUUGUCAAAGGAAGUAAAAAAAAUCAAUCUGAUAAUUUCUGAUUAGAUUUUUAUGGCAGAUACAAUAAUCAGUUUAUACAGGUUUUUCCCCUAAAUUAUCUAAGAACUGAAACUACAAGAGAACUGCUGCUUUGAGGCGUCUCUGCAUAGUCCAGCGUGCCACUCCUUAGUGGGUGUAGAUGGGUAAGGUUAGGAGAAGCUGCAUGCUGCUCAUCCUUGUGUGAAUUGAAUUAUUCUUUAAAGGCUCUAUUUAUUUAUUUGUUUAUGUUUCUAAACUUGAGGGUUUGGUUUUUUUCUUUCUUUUUUUUUUCCUAGGGCCACACCCUCGGCAUAUGGAG
Molecule: non-coding RNA, 2489 nt
Organism: Sus scrofa (pig)
Lineage: Eukaryota; Metazoa; Chordata; Mammalia; Artiodactyla; Suidae
Source: RefSeq, a predicted model, not a curated record